GAUUGACAUGUAUUAUUUAGCUUAUAUAAGGCCGAUGAGGCUAAGAAAACGAUGUGGGUUCAUAAUCUGUGACAACAAAGUAAAGUAUUUGUUUCUCAUGGCUACUCCCAUCACUCUUGCCUUUCUCCCCUAUGUUUUUCUUUUUCUUCUUUGCCCUUUAUGCUCUCUGAAGAAGGGGCAAACCGUCGCUGCAAAUGAGACCACAAAAAGUUACUUUCGCCAUGUUAAUGUCAAUUCUCUCUUGCCAUCAAGUGUCUGCGACCAUUCUAACGAAGGUUAUAUCAUGAUUUAGCAUUCUCUGUAUUGUCUUUUAAUAUUUUGUUUUACACAUUACGAUUUAUUUCUAACUAAUUUCUAACUAUUUUUUUUUAUUUUACGUUUCUUAAUCAAUUUCAAUGCUGUAUUUCAGUUCUCAACAAAGCUUCGUCCCUAAAAGUGGUAAGCAGGUAUGGUCCAUGCACGGUGACUGGAGAUCCGAAAACAUUUCCCUCAGCAGCCGAAAUCCUCCGUCAAGACCAACUCCGAGUGAAAUCAAUUCGAGCGAAGCUUUCCAUGAACUCAAGCACUACUGGUGCUUUUGAUGAGAUGAAGACUACAGUUCCAACCACUCACUUUGGAGGCGGAUAUGCUGUCACCGUAGGUCUUGGCACACCAAAAAAAGAUUUCUCACUCUUAUUUGAUACUGGUAGUGAUCUUACAUGGACCCAAUGCGAGCCAUGCUUAGGGGGCUGCUUUCCACAGAAUGAGGAGAAGUUCGAUCCUACCAAAUCAACCUCUUACAAAAACCUUUCGUGUUCCUCGGAACCGUGCAAGUCAAUUGCUAAAGGUAAUCAGUAUUAUUGCUUUAACAAAUUCUAGAUUUAACAAUCAAAUUAAUCCGCAACCAGGUGAUUGUUAAAGAUAUGCUUUAUUUGGAGGUGACAAUAUAUUUUUAAAUCAUUAUUUGGAUAUGGUUCAUUUUCAAGCAUGUGUUUAACAUCCCUGCAGAAAGCGCCCAGGGUUGCUCUUCCACAAAUACAUGCCUUUAUGGAGUCAAAUACGGGAGUGGUUACACUGUCGGAUUUCUUGCCACAGAAACACUAACCAUUACACCCUCGUAAUAGCCAUGCAUGCAUUAACACAUACUGUACAGAUUUAACAUCACCCAUGCACACUGCAGCCAACCAUACACUGUGCUCACGGGAUACACACCAUGCAGCCACUGUAACAAACCUUGCAGCCAUUGUAACUAACCCAGCAUACAAUUAUAUCAGCAAAUCAGUUAGCUUAUGAUUAGGAAAUCUGUUAGACAAAUAUCCAGCUAUGUAUAUAUACCUACAGGAUGAAUACGAAAGAUAGCUUUUGAUCAAUACAAAAUUAUAGCUCAAUAUGGUAUCAGAGCAGUAAAAUUUACUCUCGUUCCUUCUCUUUUUCUCUUCUUCUCGUCAUUUCUUCUCAAGCCUUCAAUUAUGCCUGUCAACACUACUUUACUUAACACAAAAUGAAUCCCACGGCACAUUGAUUACCAUCAAUGUAGCAGCCCAAACACCAGUAAAACUCACCUCCACAAAUUACCUAGCAUGGAAGCUUCAAUUCCAGACUCUAUUCAUAGGAUAUGAUCUCAAUGGAUUCAUUGAUGGAUCACAUCCCUGCCCAGCCUCAUCCAUACCAGGAACAACUACACCAAAUCCAGCACACAAUCUGUGGAUCAGACAGGAUCAACUACUCCUCAAUGCCAUCCUUGGUUCUUUAUCACCCACAAUCAUGGCCUUCAUAGCUCAAGCACAAACAUCAAAGGAAGCUUGGACAAUAUUAGCUAACACAUAUGCUAAACCAUCACGAGGCAGGAUCAAGCAAGUUAAAAGCCAGUUCAGACAACUCACAAAAGGAUCCCUGGGUGUUUCUGAAUUUCUCCAAACCAUCAAAGCCAGAGCAGAUGAGCUUGCCAUUCUCGGAGCACCUGUUGACAUUGAAGAUCUAUCUGAACGAAUUUUAGAAGGACUUGGCUCUGAAUAUACAGAGCUAGCCAGGGCAGUCCAAGCUAGAGAUACUCCAAUCUCUUUUGAUGAGUUACAUGAAAAACUUCUCAAUUUUGAAGCCUCCAUCCACAACACAACUCAACCUUACUUUCCUGCUUCUGCACACCUAGCCAACCGUGCCUUCUCUGGUUCACGACCCCUGCCACAUUCCAACUAUUCUUCUAACAGAAACACUGGCUGGCGCCCAACCAACACAUAUAAUCCUCGUUCUUCUCAACCUUUCUCACCUGGCCCUCAUAACCCUCGACCACCUCAGAAACCAUACUUUGGCUUCUGUCAAAUCUGCAGAAUCCAGGGACAUACUGCUAAAUACUGUCCAUCCUAUAAACUCAUACCCAUUGCCACUCCAACCAACACCAACAACAACUCAGGACUCCUAAAACACCAUGGCCACCAAAGGCGCAUUGUGCUACCACUUCUUCACACAACAAUCCAUGGCUGUUGGACAGUGGUGCAUCCCAUCAUAUUACAUCUGACCUCAACAACUUAUCCAUUCAUACUCCAUAUGAUGGGGCAGACGACAUUAUGAUUGGUGAUGGAACAAAUCUUCCAAUCACACACACUGGUUCUACAUCUCUACUUCACUCCAAUCAGAAGUUUUUGUUAACUGAUGUUCUCUGUGUUCCCACCAUCACCAAAAACUUAAUCUCUAUUUCUAAAUUCUGCAUCUCCAACAAUGCUUCAGUUGAAUUCUUACCAUUUUUCUUUCUUAUCAAGGAUCUUCACACAGGCGCCACGCUUCUGAAGGGUCAAGCUAAAGAUGGUGUCUAUGAGUGGCCACCCUCUGCACCACUGGUUGCAUUCUCCAGCAUCAAAACUACCUCAUUCAACUGGCAUCACAGAUUAGGCCACCCUGCUCUUCCUAUCUUAAAACACAUUAUCUCCAAACAUGCACUUGAUUUAGCAACCUCUAGUAUGCUGCAAUUUUCCUGUAAUGCAUGUAACUGCAAUAAGAGUCAUAAGAGUUCCUUUUCCACAUCCACUCUUACCUCCACCCGCCCCCUUCAAAUUGUUUUUUCUGAUGUAUGGACAUCUCCCAUUCACUCAUCUGAUAGAUACAAAUACUAUGUCAUCUUCAUUGAUCACUUUACAAAAUACAUCUGGUUUUAUCCGUUAACCCAUAAAUCACAAGUAAAAGAUGUAUUCCUUCGGUUCAAAGCUUUAACAGAGAAGCACUUCCAGCAACAAAUCCACACCUUGUAUUCCGAUAAUGGUGGAGAAUACAUAGCACUAGCUAAUUCUCUUGCACUUCAUGGUAUCUCUCACCUCACUACUCCUCCUCACACACCUGAACACAAUGGCUUCUCUGAACGAAGACACCUUCACAUUGUGGAAACCGGCUUAACUCUCCUCACUCAUGCUUCCAUUCCUUUACAUUUUUGGCCCCAAGCUUUUGCUACUGCUGUGUACCUAAUUAACAGAAUGCCAACACCGACCUUGAAUCUAUGUUCUCCAUAUGAAAAACUAUUUGGAUCCUCUCCCAAUUACUCAAAACUUAAAGUAUUUGGGUGCCUCUGCUACCCCUGGCUUCGUCCAUAUACUUCCCACAAAUUAGAACCUCGAUCUAAACCAUGCGUCUUCUUUGGUUACUCAUUAACACAAAGUGCAUAUCUCUGUUAUGAUCCAUCAACAUUAAAAGUUUUUGUUUCACGUCAUGUUAAGUUUGUAGAAUCCAUUUAUCCUUUUUCCUCCACUUGCUCCCAAGAUGCACGUCCUGACUCCUCCACUGUCACUACAUGGAUCCCUCAGCCCAUUCCAAUCAGCAGUAUCACUCCAGCACUCAUAUCACCAUCUGCAGGUUGCCCUCACCAGCACCACCACAGUGAAGGUCCCUCAGUUCCCUCACCAGCUUCUGACUCAUCUGUGAUAAACACAUCCCAUGCUCCCACUCAAUCUUCCUCCAUUUCCCUCCCUGAUGACCAACUCCCUGCUCCUGGACCCAAUCAUCCCAUGCAAACAAGAGCCAAGAACAACAUUCACAAACCCCUUCACAAACUAAAUCUUAAUACCAUGCUAUCCACACACUCUGACCUUGAACCAACCACUUCAUCACAAGCUCUUAAAGAUCCCAAAUGGCGUCAAGCCAUGUCAGAAGAAUUCAAUGCUCUUAUUCAGAAUGGCACUUGGCAACUUAUUCCUGCCAGCUCCAACCAGAAUGUUGUGGGCUGCAAAUGGAUUUAUCGCAUUAAAAGACAUUCUAAUGGAUCUAUUGACAGGUACAAGGCUCGGUUGGUAGCAAAAGGGUUCCAUCAACGUCCUGGGCUCGACUACUGUGACACCUUCAGUCCGGUCAUCAAACCAACCACCAUCAGACUUGUGCUCAGCCUCGCCAUCAGUUCUGGAUGGCCAUUACGCCAGCUUGAUGUAAAUAACGCAUUUCUCCAAGGUACACUCACUGAACAUGUGUAUAUGCAUCAGCCACCUGGCUUCAUCGACAAGGACUUUCCCUCCCAUGUCUGCAAGCUUCACAAGGCCAUCUAUGGCCUCAAACAGGCUCCUCGUGCCUGGUUUCAUGAACUUCGGUCAUUUCUCCUUCAGUCAGGGUUCCACAAUUCCCAUGCAGACACGUCCUUAUUUGUUCUUCGACUUGGCCACAAUCUUGUUUACUUACUUGUCUACGUUGAUGAUCUCAUUGUUACUGGAGAUGAUAUCAACUUGGUCAAUCGGUUUAUUACUCUAUUAGCUCAUAGAUUCUCCCUUAAAGAUCUUGGUCCCCUGUCUUACUUCCUUGGGAUUGAAUUUCUUCCCACCAGGCAAGGUUUUCUAUUAUCUCAGCGUCAAUACUUACUUGAUCUCCUCACUCGCACCAACAUGACUGCAGCAAAAUCUGUCUUCACUCCACUCCCAUCAGGCACACCAAUAUCCUUACACUCUGGUGAACUCUUACCUGAUCCAACAGAAUAUCGUUCUGUUGUAGGCAGCCUCCAAUAUCUUCUCCUCACCAGAAUUGACAUUGCAUAUGCAGUGAAUAAACUCUCUCAGUUUAUGCACCAACCAACGACUGAUCACUGGGCACUGGUCAAACGCCUCCUGCGUUAUCUCUGUGGCACUCCUGACCUUGGUCUCCAUCUCUACUGUGAUUCUUCUUCAUCCCUGCAUGCUUUCUCUGAGGCAUUACAUGCCUACUCCGAUGCUGAUUGGGCAGGCGACCCCGACCAUUUCUCAUCUACAGGAGCAUAUAUCAUCUACCUUGGUCGCAAUCCCAUCUCAUGGAGCUCCAGAAAACAGAAAACAGUUGCCCGAUCUUCGACUGAGGCCGAAUACAGGUCUGUCGCCAACACUGCUGCAGAGCUAAAUUGGGUAUCCUCUCUGCUGUGUGAUCUUGGUCUUCCAUUGCCAACAUGUCCAGUCAUUUACUGUGACAAUAUAGGUGCCACUCAAUUAUGCUCCAAUCCUGUUUUUCACUCCAGGAUGAAGCACGUGGCUAUCGACUUUCACUUCAUCCGUGAUCAAGUGCAAAAAGGGACUCUGCGUGUUGCCCACGUAUCCUCCACAGAUCAGCUUGCUGAUCUAUUGACAAAAUCGCUUCCCAGAGUUCGGUUUCUACUUCUUCGUGACAAGAUUGGUCUCUCCUCCCGAGCUCCAUCUUGAGGGGGGAUAAUAGCCAUGCAUGCAUUAACACAUACUGUACAGAUUUAACAUCACCCAUGCACACUGCAGCCAACCAUACACUGUGCUCACGGGAUACACACCAUGCAGCCACUGUAACAAACCUUGCAGCCAUUGUAACUAACCCAGCAUACAAUUAUAUCAGCAAAUCAGUUAGCUUAUGAUUAGGAAAUCUGUUAGACAAAUAUCCAGCUAUGUAUAUAUAUACCUACAGGAUGAAUACGAAAGAUAGCUUUUGAUCAAUACAAAAUUCUAUAGCUCAAUACCUCGGACGUGUUCGAAAACUUUGUGAUCGGUUGUGGUGAAAGGAAUGGCGGCACAUUCUCUCGUACAGCCGGUUUGCUAGGACUAGGCCGCUCCCCUAUAGCCUUACCAUCACAAACUUCCUCAACAUACAAAAACCUCUUCUCUUAUUGCUUACCAGCAUCUUCAAGCUCCACUGGUCACCUCAGCUUCGGUGGUGGAGUCUCACAAGCUGCAAAAUUCACUCCAAUAACCUCAAAAAUGCCGGAAUUGUACGGCCUAGACGUUUCUGGAAUUAGUGUUGGAGGUCGCAAACUAGCAAUAGAUCCAUCAGUUUUUAGGACCACUGGAACGAUAAUUGACUCUGGCACAACACUGACAUUUCUGCCAUCCACAGCACACUCUGCUCUCAGCUCGGCUUUUCAAGAAAUGAUGACAAACUAUACUUUGACAAAUGGAACAUCCGAUUUCCAUCCAUGCUAUGAUCUCAGCAAGCAUGCCAACGACAAUAAUAUUACAAUACCUCAGAUCAGUAUCUUCUUCGAAGGUGGGGUUGAAGUGGAUAUUGAUGAUUCGGGGAUUUUGAUCUCUGUGAAUGGUCUGGAAGAGGUGUGUUUAGCAUUCAUAGAUAAUGGUAAUGACAAAGAGUUAGCAAUUUUUGGAAAUGUUCAACAGAAGACAUACGAGGUGGUCUAUGAUGUUGCUAAGGGAAUGGUUGGAUUUGCUCCUAAAGGUUGUUAGCUCAAAUUAUUGAGAAAAGUGAAUCUAGAGCUAUUACUCACUAUCUUUGUGCUUUGCAUAGUAUGGCCUUUCUUUUUCCCAAAAUAUUGAAGGCAUCUUAUAUAACUUGUAUCCAUUGGGGCUAUUAUAUAUAUAUUCUCAACAAAUAUAUACUUAAUUAUAUUUAGAGAAAGCAUUACAGAAAAAAAAAAAUUUUAUUUGUGUGUUUGUUAAGAUAGAAUUUAUUCGAGAUUAAGAGGCUGCGUUUUUAAAUAUUUUUUUUAAAAAUUAAUUUUUAUAUUUUUUAUUUUAAAUUAUUUUUUUAUAUUUUUAAAUUAUUUUGAUAAUGUAAUGUAAAAAAAAAAUAAUUGUAUGCUAAUGGACACGGAAACUAUGUAAAACACUUCAUUGGGUGAUUGUUUUAGCCAAUGAUAGGUUUAGAUGAGAACGUUCUUUGCUAGAAAGGUUUGGAUAAAGUUUUUGAGUGUAAAGAAAAGUCGAGGAUGCUGACAGAUGACAAGUGGGAAGAGAGGCCAAUGAUAUUAUUACCUUGACAUCGACCCAUCCCUAUUAACUGAAAAAAGUAGGAAUCCUUGUACAUGAUUAAGUUAUUAACAAACAAACUCUAUUUCUGAAGCACCAUUUUUGGCAAAAUUCCAUCAGUAAAAUCCUCAUACAUACAAUCAACUUUUAGUUCUCAAACGGAUUUGGGUCAAUUACUAGAGAUGGUUUGUUUUUAUGUUAUAAGUUGCUUCUUAAAUUAUUUUUUAUCUGAAAAAAUCUUAAUACAUAUAAUCAACUUUUGGUCAUAGAAAGGAUUUGGGUUAAUUACAAGAGAUGGUUUGUUUGUAUGUUAUAAGUUGUUUUUUAAAUUAUUUUUUGUUUAGAAAAAUAUUAAAUUGAUAUUUAAAAAAAAUUAAAUAGUUUUGAUAUUCUAAUGUUAAAAAAAUUUUAAAAAAAUUUUUAAUAUAUUUUUCAUAAAAAACAUAUUUUUAAAAAACACCCUACAUCACAUUAUCAAACACCUAUCACUUAUACAUUGUGAUUUAUUUUAUUUUAUUUUGGCAAUUUAGGGAUUCUCUUUGGAUUUGCUUGCAUUUUAUUUGCCAUGUGCACUCAAUUCUAUUGAAGGGUUAAAACUCAAGUUUUGGAUGGUCAGGAUUGUUAGCACGGUCACAUUAUUACAUUAUUCAAUGCCACCCAGCCAGCUUUUAGUGGAUCCUAUAGCAUUCAAUUUCAGCCCAUCGAAAUUAAGAAUUAAUUAUAAGUUAGUCCUUGUAGUUUAUUGAAAUAAAUUAAUUAGUCCAUGAGGUGUGAGAAAUUGUUAAAUAGUUCUUGUGGGUUUCUAUAUGUUAACAACUCAGUCCUCCAUCUUUAUUUUGUUAACAAAAUGUUGAGAUGUCCAAAAUUUAAUUAUUGUUUUUUUAAAAAAUAAGCAUUGCUUUAUUCGGAUUUUCCAAUAUAAUUUUAAAAGUAUGGUGGCUUUGACAGUAGCGGCAGAAGGAAGUUUCCUCUCAUCAAAUUAUCUAUAUAUGAUUCUUUUUCAAACAAAUUUAAAUGAAUUUCUUUUCUUUUCUUUUUCCUGACUUUCGAGUUUGAGAUAACGGAGUGAAGGGGAAGGAUUUAAUCCAAAAUCAAGGACUUAAUCAUGUAAUUUUGUGAUACAGAGACUCAAGUAAACUCUAUACUUAAAUAACCUUCCUACCAUCGAUGAACAUUCUCUUGCUCUAUCUCCUCUAAUUUCCUGCCAUGCUAUCACACCAAAACACGUGAUGAUCAGAAUUUAUCAGUUUUUUCAACAAUUUUUUUUUUUUUGCUUGAGCUCAUUUUUAUGAUGGUUUAGGCUCAGAAGGGAUUGAAAAACUGUUUUAGACCUAGGCUCGUGGAUAGGGCCCAAGGGAGCGCUAGGUCCACUGGCCUAGCGUGUUUUUAGGACUAGACGUCAUGGCCUAACACCAAUCUUAGUUAUUGUUUGUGCCCAGGCUUGUGGCCUGGCCCAACCCGAACUCCUUAGUAUUUUUUACUAAACCCAGGUUUUUUAGUUUUGAUCCAAAAUGUUAGGGGACUUCAUGCAUCCUUUCCUUUCUCUAUGGAGUUGGGUAUUUUUCAACUCAUUGGAUAUAACGCAAGGGACUUAUUCUUUUUGGAGAAAUAAGGGGUGUUAUAAUUGGAAAUCUCGGGUAUCUCCAAGAUCUCUUUUUUUUCUUUUCUUUUCUAAUUUCUCUCUUCUACUCCAAUUAUUGUGAUAAACCUAUUUCUUUUUCUCUCCUCUCUACUUUAAAUCUUACUUGGUCCCAUAAUUUUUAUAUAAUAUUAAGUUUAGUUUUAUUAUUAUGAUUAUUUAGGAAUUGAACUUAUUUUUAUUUAAGUUGAACAAAAAAUAUUUUUGGAUGAAAAUUAUGGCCACCUACACCUCUAUAUGUACAAUAAUCUCUUAUGGCCUAUCAUAUUUUUAUUUCAUUAAUACAUUUAUAAAAAAUAUUUAUCUUUUAUUCAUAUAUAUAUAUAUAUAUAAAAGAGAUAUUUUAUUUUUUAUUAAUAAAUAUAUAAAGGAUAUAUGUCCCUUGUUAAUGUUACAAUGAUAAAAUAACUCUUUACAGUUUAAACCUUUCAUUCAAGCAAAAUAACAAGGUUCAUGCGAUAUAAAUAUACCUCAUAAACCAUCAAGGUAAAAUAUUCAUAAUUUUUAUAUUCUUAACAUAUGGUUCUUAUUAUUUACAAAGAAGACCUUUUUACUUUAAAAGGGUAUUUAAUACAUACCAAAACAAAAACAAACAAUCAAGUUCUUGAGAUUUAAUGAUUUAUUGUGAUCUCUCUAUAAAUAUAUUAACUUAAGCAUUUAAAGAUCCUUACAUCCACCAAAAAUGAACUAUUUUAUAGGUAUAUUGUCACCUUUCUUAGAUGUAGAGAAUGGAUCAAAUACUAACAACACUUUAUUAAACUCGUUAUCCAACCACCCAAAAAACUAUAUUCCUAAAUAUCUUGGAUUUUGAAACAACAUCACCAUCCAAAUCAUUUCUACAACCUUUAAAUAUAAUUUUGGCCACCACACCUCAUCUCCAUAUAAAGAAUAGACCCUCAGAAAAAUAUAGCUUGAACACUUUUUUAAAAGUCUUAAGAACUGAAGCUUUGAAUCUUCAAAACACUCGGUGGUGGUUGGACCCUAAAACAUAGCAAUAAUAUUGAGCUUCUCCAACAUGAGUUUGGAGAAAGAAGGGAAGGAGAAGGUAAAGUGAGAAAUAUAUUUUUGUUUUAUCUUUUUAUGAGAAAGUAAGUAUUUAUAAUAACAGCUUGAUCAUUAUAAAUUUCUUCUAGGUUUUAAAUAAGUAUUUUAGAUUUUAAAAUUUUAAUAGAUUCGGUAAUAACUUGAUGGUAAACCAUAGUAACAUAGAUAUCAACCAAAUGUUGAGAUGUUUGUUUAAUACUUUGAUAAUCUCAUAAAAAACAAACUAAAAUAAAUUAUGAAUACAAUUCAAAAUCAACCAAAUAGUAAAUAAUAGAAUUCAUAAAAAAAAAACACCAAAAGGAUUCAAUUGAAAGAAACAUAAUUGGAAUAUAGAAUUUUUUUUUUUUUAAAAAGGGACUAUUUAUCUUUGUUUUUAAACAUGAUCUAGCGGGUCAACCUUGAAACUAUUCGACCUGACUUAUUGUCUAACCAAAUUUAAAAUUAAUCAACAUAGGAGUUAACUCUAAGUAAUCUAGUUGACUUAGCAGAUCCAAAAGCAAUCUAGAUGAUCAAUGAAAGUAUCGUACCCUCGCGAGGGCACAACACCGCAGAGACCUUUCCCGAAGCGGGGAUCAUGUCAGGGUCUGUGUUUCAUGAAAAAAGUCGCUACCUAUUAUUAUGGUCACUAGGAACUCUAACUGAUCCUUAAAGAUUCUAAGGCAAAAGACUGGUUGCGUAUGUCAUAACCCAAUUCUGGGUCAUUCCCUAAAUUUUGAAAAUAAAAUUAAAAAAAUAGAAUAAAGGCUGACACUGUGGAGGAAGCUGAUAAAAAAAAAGACUGCAAAAAUAGGCAAAAAUUGAAGGGCAAAUUAAAUGCAUAUUCGAAGGUCAAAUUAAAUGAUUAUUGGAUGAAUUUGCAUAAAAAUGAAGUCCAAUGACAUAAUUAAAUUUUUAAUGGGCCAAUUUGAUUUAAUCAUGGGCCAAAUUAAAUUUUAAUUAUGUUUAAGAAUUAAUUUAGGUCCAAUUGAAGGAUUUAAUUAAGUGCAAGGACUUAAUUAUACUUUAAAUGAGUCAAAUUAAUUUGGGGGCUUAAUUGGUGAAAAAUUAAGUUUGGGAGCUUAAUUUGGACUGAAUUGAAAAGAUUGAAAUUUUAAGAUCAAAUUUAAUUUUUACCAAGUGAAUUGAACACAAAAAUUGAGGGACCAAUUUGGAAGCCCAAAAAAAUAUUUUGCCUAUAAAUAGCAGUUUUUAACUCAAAGUUAAGGGGGGUUAAUUUUAUAAAGGGGGUAAUUUUGACACUUUUAAAAAUAAAAAACGCAGGAAAAGACUAUCCUUCACACCAGCCGCCGCCCCCGCUGGUUUUCAUUUUUGGGCUCCCGGAGCCGCUCUCCCGGUUUGAUUUUCCUGACACAAAACCAGCCGGACUCUGCCCCUUCUUUCCUCGGUUGGAAAAUUUCUACCAUUCUCUUUUCCCCUCACAAAUCAGCCACACAGCCGCCUGACCUUGGCCAAAAACCAGAGACGACCUUUUCCCCUCUCCCGGCCAAAACACAACCCUUUUCCUCUAUGUUGAAAAAAAACAGAGCAAGCCGCCUGACCUUGGCUUUUCUCCCCGGAGGCCGGCCAUUUCAGAACCAUCCAGACCCUCUCCCUCUUAGCCAAGAAGCCUCCAGCCCACAGACCAGCGGUUAGACCGGCGUCCACCGAACCCCAAACAUCCAGCAGCAGUGUCUCCUUCGCCAUCAGCAACGGCUGCUCCCCCUUCGGUUUCCUCUCUAGUUUUCCCCAUCUUCACCGUCAGCCGUAGCGGCGCCUACCCUCACUUCAGUUGCCCACCAUUUCGGCAAACCAGCGGUGUCUCUACAUCAGCGCCGCCUGAAGAAACAGAUCCACCAGCCGCCUGAAACAGGUUCAGCAGCGACGCCUCCUUCCUCAGCCGCCCGAUCUGGCACCCGAAGUGGAGGAGAAGAAGAUGAAACCCAGCACCCACUGAAGCCAACCACUUCUCAGCUCCGACCGGCCUCUCUCGCUCAGCCACCGUGGAGUAAGCCUCGUCCACAGAAGAUCCAAAGCAAAGGGCCAACAAAACCAUCUCCGGAGAAGAAGAAAGGAACCACAGACAGAACAGAAAAAUUAAAAACAGAUCUGAAACAAAAAAACUAAAAUCAACUGCUUUGUUUGCGUUUUUUUUGUGUGUUUGCAGGUGACCAGACCCUCACCGCCGGCAAAAAAUUGAAGAGGGGAGGAAGCCGUUCCAUGCACCCCUGUUUGUCAGGUUUUCUAGCGGUGGGGCGUGAAUCCACGUGCCGACAGUGACGGAGGCACGUGGGAAGACGCGCCGCCACUGUUCCCCAGCACUGUUCCAGCUUGCAGAGGGGCAUUCAUGUAAUUUCAGAUGGUUUUGAAACCAUUAUUGUAAUUUUAAUGUAAUUUUUGUUUAUUUGUUUUAAAUUUGUAUUUUGUGUAAAUGUGAAUGUAAAGAAAAAAAAGAAAAGAAAAGAGUAAAUAAUAAUAAAAAGAUGUGUGUGUGUUGGUGUUCUUUUUUUUUUAUGUUUUAGUUAUUGAAUUAUAAAAAAUAAAAAAGGACAAAAAGAAAAAUGUUUUUAAUAUUUUAAUGCACAAAUUCUAAGGAUGGAUAAAAUCAUGUUGUAUUUUCCAUGAAAAUGUAAGAACAUGUUUCUACAUAUAUUCUGAGAAUUAAUAACUGAUGUAUCGAAGCCUUAGAAGUGGGCUAAAAUUUUAUUUUUUUUAAAUUACAUCAAGCUCAUGAAGCUUGAAAGUGAAUGUGCGGUGUGUGUUUUGUUUGUGAAGGUUUUUCUAUGAUAAGACGGCAAAGAAUAAAGAAGGAUUUAAUAUUUUGAUUGGAUCACGGUGUAGAAGUACAAACUUGUACGGAAGUUGUAUUUCUAAAAUCCGAUGAAAAGACAAAAUUUUUAAAACUUCUUUAACACAUCAAGUCCACGGAGCAGCUUACCUCAGGUAGGGUGCGUUAGGGGUGCUAAUACCUUCCCUAACCACAAUCAGUCCCUUACCCGCGAAUCUCUAACCAUGACCAGUCCACCAGGGUUUCCUAGUAACCUCAAUUAAAUACUAGGUGGCGACUCCUAACGAACCAAUUCAAGCAAUCCAAACAACGAGACACAAAAUCGCCAGCCGAUGCCGCGUGCGGGAUUUUCCGACCUGCGACAGCAUAAAAGGAAAGUUUUAGCACUCGUAGUACGCCUUACUUAAGAUAAGCUGCUUUGUGUUUGGUUUGUCUUAUAAUAUCUAUGGUGUUGGUGUUUUCUAAUUCUAUCAGUUUCCCUAGGCUAAUUUUGCUACGAUGAACCCAUAGAAAGAACCCCUGGCUAAUAUGGAUCCAACCUUUAGAUAUAUCCAUAGAGUGCCAGGAAGAACCAAUGCAGAUCUCUUAAAAUUUGUGUUUGAUUCAAACUAAAUUUAUAACCAGUGAAUUAAGAGACAGCUAAGAUAGAAAUCCAAGAAAAUUCAGUGUGUUUAAAAGCUCACUUUUCCUUUAAUAUUUCAAGUAUUCGCGACUUGAAAUCGCAAAGAAAAAAACGAUGUAAGAAAUCUAAGGAAAUUCAAGGCACUUUAAAAGCCUAUUUUUGCCUUACUAUUUCAUAUUUUCAUGACUUAUAAAUCAUGGAACAAAAAUCAAAAUGUUUCCAAUUAUAAUUGAAACUUCCUUCAAGGAUGUGCAAUUAAAUUGUUUUACAUAAUAUUUUGGGCAUAAUAUUUUUUUACUAGGGCUAAUCAUUUACUAAUUCCCUCUGCAUGCUACAAAUGAAUUAAAUAUUCUAUAACUUUUGUAUUUCAUUCUUAAAUUAUUUUUUCUUUUCUUUCUUUUUUUUUGUUUUUUUUUUUCAAAAUAGUUUGAGCUUCUUUUGUUUUGCUUACAGUACAUUUAUGAGAGCAAUGUACUCCAGUGUUAUUUCAUCUUCAUUAAGGGUUACACAUCGACUUUUAUAGUUAUUCUUGUCUUUCUUGUCUGUUUUAUGAACUUAACUUUUAUGAACUUAUUUAAAAUACAAUUUAAAAUUAAGAGAUCGAGAUACAGAAAAUUUGAUAGAGCAUGUAAUGUCAAAUGCAAUAACAAUAUUUAUGUUUUAAUAUUAUGAAAUCACAAUGCCAUUGUCAUGCCAUUAAUUCCUUCAUAAUGUAGGAUCAAAUUCAAUAGUGUGAUCCCAAUUCGAAUUUAUCUAUCCCACAAGGCAAAUCCAAACCAUCGUUUCCGUGGAGGCAAUAUUUAUGCUCUAAUAUUAUGAAAUUACGACGCCAUUGCCAUGCCAUUAAUCCCUUCAAAAUUUAGUUUCACAUUCGAUGUUGUCCAAACCCAAAUCACCGUAUCCCUCAAGGCAAUAUGGCAGCUGGAAUUGAUGAAACUUGUAUGGUCAAAUGAUAAUUGAGAAAUGCCUUGUCUUGCCUAUCAAAAUUUCAAGUCUUUCAUGUAUAAUUCGACUUUUCUUCCAAUAAUAAAACAAAUGUCGAGCUAGGGACCUUAAUUCGAUCAACACAAGUGAAAGAUAAAGCAGCCAUAACAAUUAAUAUUGAGUGGGGGGGGGGGGACCGAUAUAUUUGCAUGUAUUAGCGGUUGAUUGGCUAGAGAAAAAAGUUUUUUAAUGACCAUGCAAUCCCUCCGAUGAAAGCUCGAAGAUUAAGUCUCUCGAAAAGGAUAUGUGGGGACUAGUUAGUGGAGCAGAGAUAUUGAGCGACAAACCGAACGAGAUAAGGUGUGAUUUUAUGAUUGUGAAUGAAGCAAGAAUUCCACAGGGUGAAGAAAAAUAUCAUAUAUCACAUGUUAGAUUAUAGUCUUGCUUUGGCUUUAACAAGAUGGAUUAAUUAUAAGCAAGAAAAGUCAACAAUGUCUUCCUCAAUCGUAUUCCACAAUAAGUGAGACAAUUCACCUUGACUUGCUUUUCUUAAGGUUGGUCUUGUUGGUGUAGUUUGCAAGUGAAUACAGAAGAAUUUAUAACCGAGUUUAGCUUAAUUACUCUACUCUUUCUUCAAUCUUGGCCGAUUUAAAGGUUUAUAUUCGAAUAGAAUGCUUCUCAGGACUUACGUGCCUCUUUUUCUUUAAUAUUAUCCGCAUUCCUUGGAGUGAAAGACUAGCUGGAGAGGAUCCUGGCUUGCCUCACUUCCAGGGAUGCUUCGCUGCUUUCAUUACUCAGUGACAUAAGGCCACCCGUGGAGAUAAGGCGCUCUCUCUCCCCGCCAUGAGAAAAAUAUUCUUAUCUUGUACAGGAAAAAAAAUAUUUAUUUCUAAAAGUUUGUCGGUGUAGGUUUUUAUUGUGUAGUAAAUUUAGUGAAAUCUAUGAUGAAUAAGCUUUUCUCACUACCAAAAAUUCGCUUAAUAGCAAUGGAUUUACCGACGAAAUAUUUUUGUCGGUAAUUUGAGGUUGAAAUUACGGAUGGAAAGUUCAAAUUUUUUUAAAAAAAGGCGGUUCGCUGACGUGGAGCUUUUGGCGAGUGAUUUUUACUGAUGGAAUCACCGACUGAAUCAAAAUGAUAGCCCCGUACAGUGACGUGACUGGUUCACCGUUUAAAAUGACGACGGAAUCACCGAGGGAUUCGAAAUGGCAGAUCUGUACGGUGACGUGUUGAUUUUUCCAUCAGAAUAGCCGACGGACUCACCGAUGGAUUAUUCCGUUGGUGAAACCGUCGGAAAAAGUUAAUAUAUGCCCUCUUUGCCGACCCUCUCCUCACCUAUUUCUCCUUCUUCUUCCUAAUCCCAACUCUCCCCAUCUGCAAACAACCAGCCCCCAAACAAAAAUCUCCCUCAUCUCAGCACAACAAGUUAUAAUCUUGAAGUUUUGUGGUCACAACAUCCGUGUUCUGAUUUGCCGACGGAUUUUAUCAAUUUUUGUAAGUAAUUCUAUCUUUUUAAAUUUUAACAUUUAAAUGUCAAUUUUAUUGUUUUUUUAGUAUAUGCAUUUUGUUAGUAGAUGUACAUGUUUUAUUGUUAUUUCUCAAACAAACUUGUACUAUAUAAAUGUAUAAUUUUAUACCUGUUAUGGUUUGUUUUAGAUUUUGUAAGAUUGUAUUUGUUUGUAAAUUGUUAAAACUUUAUGGAAUUACCAAAUUACAUGUGUUGUUUUAAAAUAAUUAAUAACUUGCUUAAUGGGUCCGUUUUAAGUUUUAUCAAUGGUAUUGCGGAGUGGUAAUUUCCGUAAAUUUAUUUAUAUUAAUUUGUAUGGACGUUGAUAAAUGAUAAUGAAUAUUUAAUAUUUAUAAGAAGUUGUGAUUGGUUUGUUGGAUAAUCUCGAGGUAAACUAAUAUUUUUGCAUGUUUAUUUACCUAACUUAGUUAAUUAAUACAUGAUGUCUGAAGAUGAUGUUAAUGCUGAACCACCUAUUCCUAGAAGACAAUACCUAACAAGAAGUAAGGCAACUGCUACUUCUGGCCGAUCAGAAAAGAUCCCACAAUAGAGUCUCAACAAAUCAUCUUCGACUGAGACCACGGGCAACAUAGCCUAUGCUUCCUCACCCUCCUUAUGAUGGUUACUCAUUUUGUAUUAGAACUUGUUAGUUCUUUAUGUUACUACUCUUGUUAGCCUAUGUAUUGUUAUUGUAUUCUGGACUGGUGGCCUUCAGGUCUGUGUUGUUAGGAUGCUUCAUACAUAUAGUAUGGUGGCUUGGUUCUGUUGCUUAGAACUUGUAAGUUCUUUAUGUUGCCACUUUUGUUAGCUUGGUUCUGUUGUGGUAGUUUUCUGCCUGUAGUUCUUCUGGAUAGGUGGCCUUCGGGUCUGUUGUUAGGUUCCUGGAAAUGGUGUCCUUUGGUUGCUUCCUUAAUGUUGCUGGCUUUCUGCUGGAUGGUGGCUAGCCUCUGGUUAGCUAUUGUUUUAUCAGCUGCUGAUGAUUGUAAUUUUUUGAAGUGAUUUGGCUAUCUCAUGAUUUACAUGAGCUUGCUAGUCUUGUUGCUGCAUUAUGCAGGUUGUGUCUUCUUCCAUACUGCUGGAGUAGGGUUGCUCAAGCUGCUGUUAAGGAAAUGGUCAGCUGAUCUGCUGGUCGUUUCUGGCUAUUGGGUAGCUUCCUUGAUGUUGCUGGCUUACUGCUGGAUGGUUGCUAGCUUCUGGUUGUGUCACUCCUCUUCUGCUGGAGCAGGGUUGCUUAAUGGUUGAAGGAAAGAAUGUUGCUGCUAUGGUAAUGGUCAGCUGAUCUGCUGGCCAUCUUAUGUAUUUUUAAUAUUGUUCUACUGGUCUUCAACUUGUGUUUUCUAUGGGGAGCCUAUUCCCUAAUUGUCUUUAUGUAAAUAUUCUAAACUCUACUGGUUUCCAGCUUGUAUUGCAAGCUUGCCUUGCUUUUUUUUUUUUUAUCUAUAUAUAUUUCUUACAUUUGAUAAAAAAAAAUACAUGAUGUCAUCAUAAUUUUAUAGAGGUUCGAUAUAAGUCAUGGAUGAUCAUUCAUGGCUGUAUCGAAAUUCACCCCAAGGAUUGCGGAGGAUGGAUUAUUGUAAUGGGGUUCGGGGUUUCAUUAAUUUCUCAACAUCUAUUCCCAUAAAUUUUACUGGAGGCGGUAUUAGGUGUCCAUGCAGGAAGUGUCAAAAUAAAAAGUAUCUACAUCCAAAUAUUGUUGUAAUGAUGCAUCUUCUUCACAAAGGGUUUAUGGAGAAUUACCAGUGUUGGUAUGCACAUGGAGAAGUAUUUGUUAGUAAGAGGAGAAUGAGAGAAAUGAUGGUUAGGUCAACUUCUAGUGCUAGCAACGUGUAUGAAGUGGAAAAUGACAACACUAAUCAUUACAAAAAUAUGGUUAUGGAUGCAAUGAGAAUGAAUCAAGGUAAUGUCAGUCAAUGUCCAAUCAUAAAAGAAGAACCUAAUGCAGAUGCAACUAGGUUUUUUGAUUUGUUGAAAGAUUCUAACGAACCAUUAUGGGAUGGAUGCACAAACCAUAGUAAAUUAUCGGCUGUAGCACAUGUGUUCACCAUCAAGUCAGAUCACGGGUUGAGUGAGGCCGGGUAUGACAAAAUUAUUGAAUGAGCGAGAAGCAUUUUACCUGAAGGGAAUAGGCUGAAAGAGAACUUCUAUGCUGCAAAGUCCAUGAUGAAACCCCUCGGUUUAGGAUACCAUAAAAUUGACACGUGCCCUAACUUCUGCAUUUUAUACUACCUUGAAAAUGAUGAGAUGACCGAGUGCAUGACAUGCGGUCAUUCCCGUUACAAACCCAGAACUGCCAAGGGAAAGACUCUAGUGGCAUAUAAAAAACUUAGAUACUUCCCGAUCACACCUAAACUGCAGAGGUUAUUCAUGUCACCAAGGACUGUGAGAGUUUGUAAACCUGAAUAUUUCAAGAAGUAUUCUGAUAGACCUUGUUAAGAAAGUUUACUAAGAUGUGUCUCAAAAGUCGCUUUAACAGAAGAACAUUUGACUGCACCAACAUCUCUUUUCUAAGUUUGGCCUUCUCUUUGUCCUUUUAAUUUCAAUACUUGAACUCAUCAAUCAAUCCUUUCAUUUAUGUUAUAGGCCUGCAUUUAAGAUGAACAUUUACUAUAAAUUAAAGGUAUCUUAUAUUAUUAGGUAUGUUAUUAUAAAACAUGAUUUAGUUAAGGAGUUAUUGAUACUUCAAGUGCAAAAUGAUGAUAUAAAACCUUGAUAAAAAUGCACUUUUAAGUACUAAUCAGACUGCUGAGCACAUGACAUGGCACCAAGCACAUGAUGCGGUUGAUGGAGUGAUGGUGCAUCCUUUUGACGGCGAAGCGUGGAAACGUUUCAACAGUGUGCAUCCUCACUUUUUCAGUUGAAUAAUGGAAUGUGCGUCUUGGGUUGUGUAUAGAUGGAUUCAACCCAUUUGGGUCAUUUGCUACUUCUUAUUCUUGUUGGUCGGUCAUACUCAUAGUUUAUAACUUGCCACCGGGAAUGUGUAUGAGGCUGGAGUUCAUGUUUUUAUCUAUUGUCAUACCCGGUCGAAGUAGUCCGGGGCGGAAUAUAGAUGUUGGUCUUCGACCGUUGAUUGAUGAGUUGGCACAAUUAUGGUCCUCUAGAGCUCUGACUUAUAAUAUAUCGAGGAAAUAAAAUUUCCUUAUGAGGGCAGCUUUGAUGUGGACUAUCAAUGAUUUUCUAGCUUAUGGAAUGCUUUCUGGUUAGAGCACGCAUGGGAAACUAGCAUGUCCAUACUGCAUGGAAAACAACAAGGCAUUCACGCUAGCAAACGGAGGUAAAGCUUCUUUUUUUACUGUCACUGUUGCUUCUUGCCACUUUAUCACAGGUACAGAAAGAACAGAAAAGAUUUCUUUGUUGGCAAAGUUGAAAAAGAUGUUGCGUCUUUCUGGUGAAGAAUUGCAUGAUGUUGUAUCAGAGUACGGUGACAUUGUGUUUGGCCUUCAAUCCGUUAAGCAAAAGUUUCCUGGUUUUGGUUUGACCCAUAAUUGGGUAAAAUGAAGUAUCUUUUGGGAGCUUCUUUAUUGAAGACCAAUCUGCUCUGCUAUAACCUUGACGUCAUGCACAUUGAAAAGAAUGUGUUUGAGAACAUUUUCAACACCAUCAUGGAUGUGAAAGGGGAGGACAAAGGACAACAUUAAGGCUAGAUUGGAUAAAGCUUUAUACUGUAACCGUAAAAAUAUAGAGUUGGUUUAUGAUGAGUCACGGGUCACAAAACCAAGAGCAAACUUCGUGUUAGAGAAAAACGCACAACUGCUAGUCUACAAAUGGCUUAAGAGUCUGUGUGUUUUCGGAUGGACAUGAAUCGAACAUAUCAAGGGUUCCUAGUGACUAGAAUACUAGGUGGCAACUCCCAUUUCAUUUUUCCACUGAUAAAAGACAAGAAUUCCUUGUCUUUCCAUGUUUGCCAAGAUAGACAUACAUACCACACCUGAUGAUGGGGGCGGUGGGCUAUCAUCGCGACGCCGUACAUGUGCGACAGAAUGGCGACUCCACUGGGAUCUUGUGGACUAAGCAUUGUUGUCUGAUUUUUAUGUCUGGUUUUGUGCGUGCUUGUCAUUAAGAUGCUUAUUUUAUUUACACGCUUUAAUUUUUUGUGUAUAUUUGUUCAUGCAUUGUAUAUAAUUAUUUCAUGCAUCAUUCUUUUUAUGUGAGAGUUUAUACGGAAAAACAUUAGGUUAAGUAGGGACUAACAACUUACCUUAAGACUUUUAGUCAAGGUUUAAGUUUGUGUAAACCCCAACUCUUCGCUGAGUACUUAGACUGAUAAUGAUUGGUCUAUAUGCCAUCCCAUUAUCUACUGAGCCUCCAUAUUACCUUUACGAGGGCAAUCACUGGGACAACAAGAGGCCCUUUUUAGAGCCUGAGUAGUCAACCUACCUUUUGUCUCAUAUAAAAAGAACUAGAACUUGACUUUAAGGUGUAUGUUCCCUACUUUUUGUUUUGUAUCAAAACAAACCCUUCUCGAAGCAUCUUGAACUUAAGACUUAUGGGUGACAUAAUGGUCGUCACUUAAAAAAAUUUCAUUGUAGAGUUUGGAUAAGAAUCAAUAUUUUUAUUUCAUCAUACAAAAGUUACGACCAUAUGUCACCCUUUGAAGGGCAAGUUUAUCAUAUAGAAUGCUCGUCAAUUUGGAAUAAAGGCCCCCCAAUUCUGUUUUCCCUUCCAGAAUCAAGAGUUGUCGACAUCCAUCAAUGUCAAGAACGAUUCGAUUAAGGCUCCAAUCAAGAAACAUAGCUUGUGGUAAUAAGGUUCUCUGUUCUGCCAUGGAUUCAGCUAGUGACCUGUGCCGAGAUGCCAUCUAUGAAGUGCUGACAUGCUCAUCAAUGGAGACUGUGGGGAAAUGUAUGCUUUUAUCUAAAGAGUACAACAAGUUGACCUACGAAACUUUUUUCGCAAAGCUACACAGCCAAAGAACCAACAUUGUCUCUGGUUUCCUUAUCCAAAGCAUGAUCAGGAACAAAUAUCAGUUUUCCUUUGUUUCAACUAACGGUUUGAAUACCCAUACACAAAUCUCCUUUUAUUUUCUUCCAAAGCACGUAGAGAUUGUUUCAUCAUCAAAUCAAGGAAUUCUACUUUGUCGCGCAUAUAAUAAAUCAUGUUAUUAUGUGAGCGACCUUUAUAUCCAAUAAUGGCAAAAGAUCCUAAAUCCAAAGACACGAUAUGAUACCAUAGAAUCUAGCCUAAUGAUAGAAAGGUCAAAGCCUUUACGAUACAAGAUUGUGAGAUUCUUAAAGCCCAAGUUUCACUCACAUAAAGAAUUCUAUAUGUACCACUGUAUCAGAGUCGAGUUGUUUGAAUCAGCAACUUGAAAAUGGAAGUUGUUGGACGAAGUGAAGUUGCCUUAUGAAGAAUCUCUUUGUCGCAUGACAAAAGUAUCUGUAAAUGGCUCACUUCAUUGGCUUACUUGGAAGAGAAACGUCUUUGUAUUUGAUGUAAAAAGAGAGUCAUUGUUUAUUCCCACUUCCCAUGCCAGCCUCUGAGGGCAAUAAUAAUAAAGAUGUCAGACUCACUGAAUAAAAAGGAAAGCUCGCCAUGACCUGUAUCGAUAGGGAGAAAAUUUCAUGGAAAUAUGGAUCAUGGAGGAUCAUGACAGAAAACAAUGGAGAAAAAAGCAUUCGAUAAACAUAGGGGUUUUAACAAGGAAAAAACCCCACAUAAGUCCUUUGGCCUUCUGCAAUGCUGAUGUUAUGCUAAUGGGAGAAUAUUUCCCUGAUGUGAUAUUCUUUAACUUUAAGACUGGGCACAUUGAUAUGCUACGAUCAGGGAAGGGUCUGCUCCAUGGAUGCUUCCCAGUUGAGCUCACGUUUGCCACAAAGACAAAGGCACAAUUAGUUCAUUGCCCCAAGGCAUAGUUCUCUAGAUGUAAUAAUCCAAAUGAGAUGUGAAGAAUUGCAAGAAAUUCAAAGAUGAAGUCAGAAGGUUGGUAAGCAAGACAUAGCCAUAUUUUGUGAAGAAUGACCAAUGAAUGAUAACAAGACAUGUAUAACCGAUGAAGAAGCUGUUUAGAAAUAUCAUGUUAUCAAUUUUGUUGCCCAUCAUUUUGUUUUGGGAUCACAUCUCACUUUUUAAUGGAAUGUACUUUAUUAUUAGUCUUAUUAUUGUCUUGAAAUAAAGAGAUGUUUCCUUCAAAUUUUGUUUUGGCAAAAUAUUUUGAUCGAACUCCAACACGCAAAAUUAAAGUCUUUUGAUUCCAGAAAAGACUUGAUGUUCGUUAAAAUGGCAAGAGAUGACCGAACUAAUCUUGAGCUCACACACUACAAAAUUGAACCACACAUCAUAUAGCUAAGUUUUAGCAGUAUGCAUAAUGACAUGUAGUAGAUUCAUCAGUUAUGGAUUCACAAAUCAUGACUCUUUACAAAUCCAAAUCAUUCCACUGGAUGAGGUUAAGAUUUAUCAGUUUUAACUGACCUUGCUUGAAAUGAAAAAAGAUCAUCUUUGUUAUCCCUUCACUUUCCAAAGAUUAUAUCCCUUGUGGUUCCCAUUUGAACCUGAUAGAAUAUUUCUUUCAAAGAAACCUUGACUAGGAUCACACCCCACACCGGGGGCAAACAAGAGAUAUUUUGAAGACAAUGAUAGAAUCAAGAGAAAAGAGAAGGAUAGGAACAAAAGCCUAACGUUUGAGAUAGGGCUAAAAAAAAAACAACAACAACAAAAUAGGCAUAGACUAGGGGGCAGAAAAUACCGAUGUUGGUUAUUCUUUAUCAUCCCAACAAGUAGUAGUGAAGAUGGGUGCUGGAAUCAAUCAUGUCACAGUUAUUUGACACAACCAAAGCCAAAAGUCAAAGACCAAAAGGGUUGAGCUACAAGCAUGACUUUUGAGGUCCGUGAUAAAGCCUCUAGUGUCUUCAAAUUGAUCAAGAUUGGUGAUUCCAAAAAAAAUUUUAUAACCCUUGUAAACAGAAAUUCGAUUUUGUCCUUAACAGGACUUUAUGUCAUUCCUCUGCAACGACAACAAGAGAAAAGGAGUUGGAUAAUUGAUGAUGAUCCUAGAUCUUUGAAACCCUCAAACAUAUUUUGAGCCGAUAAAAUCCCUUUCUUUCAUAGCCAUAAACCAUAGCCUGCAUUACGUGCUUUGAAAAUCCCUUUUUGAUCAAGUAAGCAAUCUGAGCCGAUAAAUGCCACUCUCAAAGCCUGAAGAGCCUUUUCAUAAGAGUCAUAACUUCAUGAAUUAAGCUAUUAGUUAUUAUGCAUACUGAUAAAAUAAGAGCUAAAAAAAAAAAACCCUCUCUUGAUAAAGCUUGAGAUUUGACAUGAGCAUCUUUGAAAUUCACACAAAGGUCACCUCAUCACAAACCAUCAAAAGAUAUACCCAAAAUCAAAGUCUAAAAGGGAUACAAAGAACCAUGGAAAAAAAAGCCAUUUUAGUCUUACAACGGGUCAAUUUCAGUUUUCAAAAUACAUGACAAUAAAAUGACUUUAUAUUUUGAAUAACGUGUUUUGGGUUUUGGACCAAAAAAGCUUGAUUUUUCAAAAGAUCUUUUCAAAAUUAACAUCUCUUUGAUUUCAUUUCAACAAUUAGACUGGUAUGGACAUAAUCUUUGAAAUGCGAGAUUUGAUUCCAGAACAAGGAAGAUUAUCGAACACAGAAGAACAUCGAUUGAGUAUGUGAAAUCCUUGAUAAAAAUGACAAUGACGCUCCUUGACACUCCUUGAAAAGUUAAGCAGCUGAGGGGAAAUACAAUGAACUCGGAGAAGGAAAAACAAGCAUAUUCAGAUCAGCUAUAAGGCAAUGAAAGAUGAUUGAAUGAUGAAUCAGUGAACUGAAGACAAUGGUGUCCAAAGAAAGAUAAUCAAUGAACGAGCACAUUCAGAUCAUACUAGGGGCAAUGUCAUCCAUGCUCUGGUGAACCCCAUCAGCAAUUGAGAAACAAAUAUGUACCUGAAGGACGCUUUCAUAUCAUCAUCUUUUGAAACAUGGCUAGCAAUAGAUGAGGAUACAUGAAUGAAUGGCGAAAAGAUGCAUACCACCAAGACUAACUAUGGAACAAUGCUGCACUUGAAGGACAAUCUCAUAUUGUCAUCCUUUGAAACAUGGUUAUCGACAAACGUUAUCACACAACUGUAUUGAAUGAAUAUCGGAAAGGCACUCAUCUCGAAGACUAACUGUGAGACAAUUUGUUUUGAAGCCAAAUAAGCACUUCACCGCAUGAGUAUGGGUGAUAAAAGCAACAUCAUUGAUGAGGCCAUGACAUUUCUUUUCACAAUCUGAUUAGAAGAGCUGAGAAGAAUCUAUUGAGAAGAACACUGAGCAUACAACCAUGAGCCUUUGUGUUGCAAGCUAUGAGAUACAUGUCUGGAUGAUUGGAUAGUUUCCAAGAAGACUAAUGAUAACAUAACUUGAAGAGUAUUGUUUCAACUGGAGGCAAGUCCAUGACUGAUUGGCAAUAAAAAAUGAGGUUAAACACUUGAAAACCUCUUGAUGGGUGUUGGCAAAACAUGCACAACCAAUCAAAGGACAAUUCUUGAGAGAAUCUAGGAGAUGGAUGAUUUGUUCAACUCCUUCAUGAUGAAUCGAGCAACACCACACUUGGAAGCAUGAUCAAGCUUAAGAAGCAAUGAGAACAGUAAUCAUCACGGAUAGCCCAUGAUAGGCACUACACUUACAUCUGAGUGAAAGGCUAGCGCACGAAUGAGCCAGUACAUUGAAAGAACAAAAAAAGCUUUAAAUAACAAAAAAAGGCACCCUAUGAUGAUGGAACAUUGAAGAGGGGGCACCUAUAUUUCAAAUCAGGUAAGGAUGCAUGCAUGCAUAUCAUCUAACGCCGAAGCAUUGCAUAUAUUUUUGAUUUGUUGCAGGAAAAACUCUCGUUAGUCCAGCAAGAUUGGGGACAAAGAAAGAAUCAUUGAGUUGAUGAACAAUAAGAAUCAUGGUUUUGACCCUAGAACGGGAGGAAGAUGAGAUAAACCUUAACAUUAAGGAAAUCUCAAAGAAAUAAGAAGAUAAACGAAGAAGAGUCUUCAAUUCAAACCUAUCAUCUUAAAGAAGAAACAUAUUUUUUGGUUAAAGUUGAUUGGCAGAAGAGAUCUUAGGUUAACCAUCACAUGAAGAUUUUAGCUUCGGUUGAAAGGAGUUGCCAGAUAGGAUUCUAGGUUGACCGAGCUACACAUAGACUUUGGUUCUGGUUAAAGGGGAUCGGCAAAGGGAUCCCAGGGUAGCCUAACCACAAAGGAUUUUGGUUCUGGUUAAAGGGGAUUGGCGAAGGGAUCUCAGUUUAACCUAACCACACACAGACUUUGGUUCUGGUUAAAAGGAGUCGGCGAAGGGAUCUCAGUUUGGCCUAACUCCACAAACUUUGGUUCUGGUUAAAGGGGAUUGUCGAAGGGAUCUCAGUUUAGCCUAACCACACACAGACUUUGGUUUUGGUUAAAGGGGAUCGGCAAAAGGGAUCUCAGUUUAGCCUAACUACAAAUAAUUUUGGUUCUGGUUAAAGGGGAUCAGCAAAGGGAUCUCAGUUUAGCCUAACCACACACAUACUUUGGUUUUGGUUAAAGGGGAUCGGCGAAGGGAUCUUAGUUUACCCUAACCACAAAGGAUUUUGGUUCUGGUUAAAGGGUAUCGAUGAAGGGAUCUCAGUUUAGCCUAACCACACACAAACUUUGGUUCUGGUUAAAGGGGAUCGGCGAAGGGAUCUCAGUUUAGCCUAACCACACAUAGACUUUGGUUCUGGUUAAAGGGGAUCGGCGAAGGGAUCAGUUUAGCCUAACUACAAAGGAUAUUAGUUCUGGUUAAAGGGGAUUGGCAAAUGGACCGCAGUUUAGCCUAACAACACACAGACUUUGGUUCUGGUUAAAGGGGAUCGGUGAAAAGAUCGCAGUUUAGCCUAGCCACGAAGAGAUUUUGGUUCUGGUUGAAGGGGAUUGGCGAAGGGAUCUCAGUUUAGCCCAGCCACAUAUAAAUUUUGGUUUUGGUUAGAGGGGAUCGAUGAAGGAAUCUCAGUUUAGCCCAACCAAGUAGACUUUGGUUCUGGUUGAAGAGGAUUGAUGUAAAGGCAGAGUUUUAGAUCAACCAAGUUGUGACAAGAUCAAUUUUGGAAGUUCACUUUUGUUUAUCUUUACAAAACUUACUUUGCAAAGUCUUUGCUCUGUAAGUAUUGUAAAGAGGGGGCAUCUGUUGUAACCCAUUUUUAGGUCCCCGCACAAGAAAAGAGAAAAUACAAAAAAAUAAAAUAAAUAAAAAAUGAAAAAUGAAAAUGAAAAAAAGUAAUUUAUCAAAAGUAUAUCAAUGAAAAGAGGAUGCUAGAGCACAAAAAAAAAACGGUCAAAAUUGGUUAAGGAGGUUCAAAAAAUACAAAUGUUGAAAUUUGAUAAUAUAUCAUUGACCAGUGAGAGCCCUAUUGAUUAAGAAAAUUUUAUUUGAGGAAGAAAAGUACAAAAUCAAAUGUUGAUGGACUGAAUUAAAUUUUAUUGAAGGUUUAAUUGAAUUUAUGGAGGGUUGAUUGCAGGAAAAAAAUGUUUUUAAGUCAAUUUGGGUUUUAAUUGGAAGAAAUUAUAAUCCUGGGGUCAAAUUAUAAUUUUGGAGAGUUGAUUUUGUCAAAUUAGGGGCUUAAUUACAUAAACAUUGAAGUUUGAUGGCCAAUUGGGGACUUAAUUGAAGAAAUCCAAGACCAAUGACCAAAAUGCAAAAUGCGCGCAAAUUGAAAGAUUGACUUGAAAUUUGGUGCUUUGGCGCCAGUUUUCAUUUAAAUGAAACGGCACGUUUUAAGCAAAAUGACGUCGUUUCAUGCGUUUAAAAAAAAAAAAAGAGAUAAAACGGUGUUGUUUUGAGGUGGCACUGUUUCUUCUUCUUCUUCCUAUGGAUCUGCAACAGGGGAAGAAAAGUUUUGUUUUUCUUUCCUUGUUUCUUCCUCUCUCCCUCCUUACAUGCCCUGUUAAAACCAAAACCGGACGCAACCCGCAUCUCCUCAUGAUGAGAAGACAGAGAAGUCAUGUCCCACAAGCGACACCUCCAUUGGCCACCUCUGUCAGCGUCGUGGCAAAGCAGGAGGCAUUUGCGCCCCAUUCAUGGGCAGCGAUGGGACGGGGCAGGGUCGACCCCGCUCCCCCUUCCCCUAUAAAUAUUGUCCCGAAAGGAAGAAAGAGGGAGGACAAAAAAUGGGGGGAACGAAUGUGAGAGAGAGGGGGGAAACCAAACAGAAUAGAGAGGGAACUAGAAGAAGAAAAAAAGACAGAGAAGGGAGAGGGGACAGAAUGAAGAAGACAACAUAGAGGAAGGACGGGAGAUUAGAAAUAGGGGGAGGAGGAGUUUUGCUUUAAAAAAAAUGAACGGACAAGCAGACGGCGGAGGAGAGUUUUUGGAGUAAAACAAAAAGGAAAUUUUAAGGAGAAAGCCGGUGAGACAUGAGGAGAAACAGAGGGGGAGGACAGAAGAGGAGAGACAGAGCAAAUAAUAGGGAGACAAAAAAAAAGGCCUUUGCACAGGGAAGAAGAAAAAACCAUAGCAACGCUGCCUGGAACCACUGUUUGCCACCGCAACGCCACUGAGAACAGUCACCAGCAUUGUCGCACGUCGAAAAAUCCGCGCGGCAUCGGCUGGCGAUCUUUAUCGUAUGUUGCAUUGCCUUGAAUUCGUUCGUUGGAGUCGCCACCUAGUAAUUCAUUGAGGGCUACUAGGAAACCUGAUGUACUGGUCUUGUCAGAGAUUCGCGGGUAAGGGACUGGUUGUGGUUAGGGAAGGUAUUAGCACCCCUAACGCACCCUACCUGAGGUAAGCUGCUUCGCGAAUUUGAUGUGUUAAAGAAGUUUCAAUAAUUGUCUUUUCAUCGGAAUUUAGAAAUAUCACUUAUAUAUAAGUUAAUAAUUCUUAACCGUGAUCCAAUCAAAAUAUUGAAUUCUUCUUUAAUAUCUGCAAUUUUAUCAUUAAACAAAAUAUAAAAAAAAUAAAACAAAUACAAACACACAUAUUCACUUUCACUAUUUUUUAUUUCUUUUCUUUUCUUUUCUUUUCUUUUACAUCCACAAUACAAAUACAAAUACAAAAUAUAAAUUCAAAAUAAAUAAAUAAAAAUUACAUUAAUUAAUUUAAAAUUACAAAAUAGUCCCUAAAAUACCCUAAGAUUCUUGGUGUGAUGGUUUCAUGCUUAAAGGUUAUGCUCAAUAUGUUAUUUGCAUGAAACAACAACAAAAAUGAAGGUAUGUUAUAAACACAUGAUCUUAUUAACAAGAAAGGCUCAUUUGACAAGGAAAGUGUUGUGGAAUUUUGAGCCAAGUUACCAACAAAAACUGGAAUAGGUUGAAACAAAAAUCAAGAAAUUUUGCAGGCGUGAUCAAACUAAGGGUUUUUUUUUUUUUUGCAGAACAAGAAUAGGCUCCAUUAUGCACCGGUAGUGCAAUUCCCCUUCGGUCAGCCUUCCCACCAAAGCUUUUGCAGAAAUACAUCAUUGUGUUGAGGCUCUUGACCAAUGUUUGCCCCUAAUUUCUUCGGGCAGAGUCAUUGUUGGGUUUUGGAACAAAGAUGAUAGGUCGGUUGGAAGGAAGUUUCCUAGAGUUAUUUUUCAGUAUUUGCUCGAGUAAGCUAGAAGCAAGUCACACAUGUCUUCAAAAAUUACGACGAGCAUACUCUUCAUCUUCCGUGUUUUUUCUUUAUUCAAAGUUGGGUGUUGUAGACUCGUAGGGGACCUACUUUUCAUUCUGGUGCAUGCAUGAAAAAUGUAUGAACAUGUAAUCUAUAUGAUGAACUCACCCUUCGAGGGGUGACAUUAUGGUCGUAACUCUUGUAUGAUGGGGCAAGAAUCGUGAUUUUUGCCCAAACUCUACAAUGAAAAUUUUUGGAGUGACAGCCAAUGUGUCACCCACAAGUCUUGAGUUCAAGAUGCUUCAAGAAGGGUUUGCCCUUAUGCAAAUAACGAUAGCACAUACAACUUAAGGAUUGGUUCUAUUCAUUAUUGAACAUGGGUAAGUUUCUAUCUUGUCUCAAAAGGGUCUCAUAUCUGCCCAGUGAUAUUCUUCUUAAAGACAGUAUGGGGGCGUUGCAAGGAAUGGUUAAGGCACGUAUACCCACCAUUACCAAGCAGGCACUCAGAUAUGAGUUGGGUGUUUCACGCAUCUGAACCCUGACCAAUAGUCUUAGGACAGAUCGCUAGUUCCCCACCUAACCUAGAAGCUUGUGUGUGCUUUCAAAAAAUAAAUACAGGUGAUGCAUGAAACAAUUCUAUAAAAUGCAUGGAAAAAAAAUAUUAACAAAAAGAUAAAAAUGCAAAAACUUAAACACAUCAAAUACACAAAGCUUAGUCCAAUAAUGUUAGAAACAGUACCUUCCCCAGUGGAGUCGCCAUUCUGUCGCGCGUCAAAAAAUCCGCGCGGCAUCGGCUGGCGAUCUUUAUCGUAUGUUGCAUUGCUUUGAAUUCAUUCGUUGGAGUCGCCACCUAGUAAUUCAUUGAGGGCUACUAGGAAACCUGAUGUACUGGUCUUGUCAGAGAUUCGCGGGUAAGGGACUGGUUGUGGUUAGGGAAGGCAUUAGCACCCCUAACGCACCCUACCUGAGGUAAGCUGCUUCGCGAAUUUAAUGUGUUAAAGAAGUUUCAAUAAUUGUCUUUUCAUCGGAAUUUAGAAAUAUCACUUACGUAUAAGUUAAUAAUUUUUAACCGUGAUCCAAUCAAAAUAUUGAAUUCUUCUUUAAUAUCUGCAAUUUUAUCAUUAAAAAAAUAUAUAUAUAAAAAAAUAAAACAAAUACAAACACACAUAUUCACUUUCACUAUUUUUUUUUCUUUUUUUUUUUUCUUUUCUUUUCUUUUACAUCCAUAAUACAAAUACAAAUACAAAAUACAAAUUCAAAAUAAAUAAAUAAAAAUUACAUUAAUUAAUUUAAAAUUACAAAAUAGUCCUUAAAAUACCCUAAGGCUCCUAGAACAUGUAGGAACAGUGUACGGGAACAGUGCUGGAAGGCUUCUGGGGCAGCAAACAGCGGCGGCGCGUCUUAGGACCACGCGCCGCCAUACUCAAUGCCCGGAAACAACCGGAUCUGGCUUGCUUUCUUCUUCUCUUCCCUUCCUUGCUAGUUCUUAGGACCACAAUCACCUACAACAACAAUAAAAUCGCAACAAACACAGUCGAUCCUCCCCAUUUUGAGAUCCGUUUCUUCCCCUUUGGAUCUGCUUCUUCUCUACAAAUCUGCCUCUUGUUUUUUUUGGUUUCGCCUUCUCGGUUUCGGGUAGUUGGUAGAAAGACCAAGAGGCUGCCGGCGACUGGGCUUCUAUCGCGUCUGUAGCUACUGGCUGCCGGUUCGGGUUUUGGCGACGAUAAGGGCAUGCGGGGUUCUAGGCAGCGUUCUCGGUGGCUGAGGAAGAGGCCGGUUAGAGCUGGAGCCACCGGCGAUGAAGAAGAGAGAUGGGGUUGUCUUGUGGAUCUGUCGGGUGGUCUGUGGCCAUCACUGUUGAUGGUUGAGAGGAGCGCCGCCGGUUCGACUAAGAGAGAGGCACUAUGUUCACAGGGGAAGAUGACUAGUGUGUGGCCAGCUGAAAACCGAUUGGCCGGUCGGUCAGCUACCUCUAGAAGGCUGGUCGAUGGAGACGGGGAUGGCGUCUGGGAGAGGAAGGAUCUGAAAUGGUGAAAACCGGGGGCGGCUUGAGCCUCUAGUUUUUUUUUUUUUUGAGGAGAAAGAGAUGGGGUGCGCUGUCGGUGAAGGAGAGAACCGGCUAUGGUGGCUGCUCCGGUUUUGUUGGCUAGAAAAGGAGAAGAAAAUGGGGAACGACGUAGAGAAAUGUGGGGAUCUGAAAUGGUGGGGGUCCUCGGCUCUCUGGUUUUGGGAGAGCUAAAAAACCGAGGACCCCGGGGACAAAAAUUCAAAAUCAGUGGGGGGAGGCGGCAGCUUAGGUUUUUUGUGGUUUAGGGUUUUUUGUUGUAUUUUCUGGUGUUUUCAAAAUUAGCCCCCCCUUGAAUGUGUUGAGGAAACCAGUAUUUAUAGGCAAAAUGUUGCUAGGUUUUUCAACUUGGUCCCUCAACUUCUUUCUUUUUUGUAAAUUUUGAUUUUUCUUAUUUUUUUGUAUUUUUUGAAAACGAGCAAUAUCAACGUCGACUCAAUGAGAAAAAUCAAUGAUUUUAAAAAUAACGCAUGAAAAGUUGAACGCGUUUGAAAAUCUUUAAAAAAUUUAAAAUUUUUUUUAGACGACGUUGAAAAUGCUAAAAUGACGAAAAUAUAUUAAAAAACAUAUUUUUUUUGGAUUUUCUUUGUUUUUCUCUAUUUUUGAAUUUUUUUGAAAAUAUAUCAAAACAUGGGUCAAAAAAUGGGUAGCAACAAGCAUCACCAUCAGCUGAGCCAUCCAAGAUCAUCCCCUCAAGUAAUUCUCUUCCCCACUUAUAGUCGCUCGUCAUUGUUCAUCUUCUUGCUGCUAAACAUGCACUCUGCACGUUCUGCAUGCAAGAAGAAUAAUUAGCCCAUCCCACACAGCUGGGGUGAGUCCAGCCCUGUAGAAAGGAGGUCUGAUUUCAUUUUUGGGCUGGUCCGACCUAGUCAAAAAAAAUUUCAAAAAAUCAUUUUAGGAAAUUCAAGUCUUUUUUGCAUGUUUUUCUACGUCAUUUUUAUUAAUAUCGGUCUGUAUUUUUAUAUCGUAAAGAUACAAAUCCGGUAUUAAAAUACCUAGUUUUCAAAAAAAAUAUUUUUGUUUUCAUGCAUACGGCCAAGUUUCUCAAAGUUAAAAAUCAUAUUGUAUUUUUAUACAAGAAAGAAAACUUCAAAACAAAUAUACAUAUAUUAUUUUACCAUGCAUUUUGGCUUUAAUAAUCAGUUUAUUGAAGUCAUGAGAACCUGACAAAUAUUUCAAAAAAAUAAAAAUAAAAUAUUUUUUUUAGUUUUAAUGUCUAGGAUUACGAAUUUAUACAUAAAAUGUAUUCCUGAUAUUAAAAAGGUAGUUCUUUUAUAGACAUUAGACCAGUUAGGUUUUUACCUCAUAAGAUAAGAACCUCUUUACUGAGGAAGGCUUUUCUUGAAUCAUAGCCGGACCAACAUGACAAGACCUUAGAUUUUUAUCAGACAAUAAAACAAUGCAGCUUACCGUAGGUAGGGAAUAUUUGGGGUGCUAAUACCUUUUCUUUACACAACCAGUCUCCGUACCCAAUCUUUGAGACCAGUUAGGGUUCCUAGUGACCAAAAUACUAGGUGGUGACUCCCAUUUCAUUUUUCCACUGAUAAAAGACAAGAAUUCCUUGUCUUUCCAUGUUUGCCAAGAUAGACAUACAUACCACACCUGAUGAUGGGGGGUGGGCGAUCGCCGGGACGCUGCACAUGUGCGACAAGGACCUACUAAUCACAGAACAUCUGCUCCACUUAAACUAAUUUUUAGUGAUGUUUGAGGCCAUGCCCCCAUUUUCUCUUCUGAUGGUUUCUGAUAUUUUGUGAUCUUUAUGGAUAUACAGAUAAAAUUUAUUUGGUUUUAUCCUAUUGGUGCAAAAUCUGAUGUGUUUAAUGUGUUUCACCAAUUUCAAGUCUUGGUGGAAUGACAAUUCUCUUGCAAAAUAAAAUCAGUUCAAACUGACUAGGUGGCGAAUAUCAUAAAUUAAAUUUCUUCUUUAAAACUGUUGGUAUUCACCAUCAUAUCAAUGAAACUGGUCUUACAUUACUUGGGCACUGUAAAGCACCUCUAAAAUUUUGGAAUUAUGCGUUUGAAACUGCAGUUUAUCUUAUUAAUUGUAUGUCGACACCAGUCUUACAAAACAAAUCUCCAUUUGAAUAUAUGUUCCAUCAAACACCUAAUCAUGUCUACAUCUCUUGUAAUGUUCGUUUUCAUGAACAGUCUUUUCCCUUUCUUGAAACUGCACAUGUUUCUGCUAUCUCUGACUCUAACCCAUAGUCGGCCCCUUCCUCCCAUCUUCCUGCCUUAACGCACUUCUUAUCCACCAAAACACCAUCAACCUUGUCUAAACAGGUCCCAUUACCACCAAUUGUUGCUAUGUCUAUUGAUCAUUUUACAGGUUCAGGUUCUGCAGCUCCGAACAGCACAACCCCUAGGUUUGUUGUGCCCUCUGAUGCACCUUCUGUUACGUCUUUUGGUGAGCAAUCUAGCUCACCGUCUAGGCCUUCAUUUUCCUCACAAUGUCCUGCUUUGUCUCCGAUAGCUUUAGAUAUUUGCGUUGAUCUCUCCAACUACUCCCUCUCACAGCAGCCCAUGCCAGACAAAUCUGUUGCACCAGUGGUCUCUUGCCAGCACCAUAUGGUGUUGCGUCCCUGACAGCCUAGGUUUGCCAACUUGAUUUCUAUUUCUUCGUUGCAGCCAAACUCACGGGUAACAUGUUCUUCUGAUCAAAAACCUUUAAAUUUCAAAGAUGCUAACCGGUUUUUAUGAUGGCAGUCUGUUAUGAGAUUUGAAAUUGCAGCCUUACAUGCCAAUAAUACUUGGUCUUUGGUUCUAUUUGAACCUUCUAUGAAUGUUGUUGGUUAUUGUUGGGUUUACAAAAUCAAGUGACGGACCAAUGGUGUUAUUGAUCGCUACAAGGUGCGUUUGGUUGCGCUUCUACUCUACUUCACUGCCUUCUUAGUCUGCUGAGUUCAGAGUUUAAACUCCGGGAUCUGGGUCAUGCUCAUUAUGUUUUAGGAAUUGAGGUCACUCCUACCAGCAUAGGGCUUAUGCUUAGUCAACACAAAUAUGUUCUUUAACACGAACAAAAGUUGAUGUCUUCUCCCAAGUGCAGGAGUGUCAAAGUAAUAAAUAACCCGGCAAGACCGAGGUCGAACCACGGGGAGGUUAACUAUAUAAAUUAUAAAUAACAACAACAACACAACAACAACAACAACAACAUAAUAAUAACAAUAACAAUAACAAUGACAAUAACAAUGAUAAUAAUAAUAAUAAUAAUAAUAAUAAUAAUUAGUAGUAGUAGUAGUAGUAGUAAUGAUAGUAAUAAUAGUACUAGUAAUAAUAAAGAGGACUUUGAGAUGUAAGAUUAAUGUGAAGAUUAAACAAUGAUAAAAACAAAUGUCAAGAUUAGAGGAUCCACUAAUUGUACUUCAAACAACUAUAGUAUAAACUCUUAUUACUCAACUGGAAACCACACACAAAGGAGGUUCCAAUCAGAUUAUAAAUUGUUAACAUGAUUACAUUAAUUAUCUUAUUCGAGUAAUGCCAAUACUUGUAAAUAUUAUCAGGUAUUCAUGGUGAUAGCUUAUGUUAACAACAAAUCAAGUUCCUUUCAUAGCAUAGGUGUAGGUUAUACCAUACAGUUGGGCUAUGAAAGUGCCAAGCAUUUGUUGUACCAAGGGUUGUUCAACACAAAUCUAGAUUAACAAUUUGACAAGCAAGGUAUUAAGAGUGAGCAAGAUAAUAAAUAUAAAACAUGUUAGUAUCAAGCAUUAAAGUCCAUGUUGAGUUUAUACUAUACUUAUUCUUACACCAUUAGUGUAACAUUUUCACCUUGACAUAAUAGAUUUAGCUAAACAUAAUGAAUGAAAGAAACAUAAAUAAACAAGAUAAGAACAUAAUUUUAUAAGUAAAGGAAAGGAAAUGACAAGCAGAAACAAGAGAUUAAUAUAACAUAAAAUAAAACUUAAACAUUACAAAAUACAAAGAAAGAGAGCAAGAGCAUAAUCUUGAUCUGAACACCAAAAUGUCUAAAUGCAUGGCAAAUGCCUUGUUUUAUAGGCCAAAAUUUGGAACCAUUGAUUUGAUGAAUAAAUGUUGAAUGGGUGGCCACAUCUUGACUUGGAAAGAAUCCUUAUCUUCUUGUCUGAACAAAACGUCAUUCCUAACGUUAGAAUUUGAACCACCUUUACCAUGAAAGUUCUAGGAAAUUGUCAUAGCUUUCCAGAAAAACAAAAUUGAGGUCAUUUGGACUUCUAAAACUCGAGAUAUGGGCUAAAAACUGAACAAUGUCUAGGAUGUAGAACAGAUUCGGACUUCUCCGUUGUUACUAUAAUUUGGACUUGAAAACGGCAUUUCUAAAUCUUGGACUCCACAUGAAAGUUUUAGACCUAUGUCUUAGCUUGCCAUCCAUAUAAGCAGAUCUAAAUCCGAGAUCUACAGCUCCAUAUAUGACCUAAUUACCAAACAGUGUUUCAGUUUGGACUAAACCAACAUCCCUUUUCUAAGCUUCACCCUCUCUUUAUCUUCACAAUUUCAGUAGUUGAAUUCAUCAAUCAAUCCUUUGCUUUAUGUGAUAAACCUGCAUUUAAGAUGAACAUUUACCUUAUAUUAAGGUAUCUUAUAGUAUCAGACUUGUUAUUAUAAAACAUGCUUUAGUUAAAGAGUUAUUAAUACUUCAAGUGCAAAAUGAUGAUAUAAAACCUUGAUAAAAAAGCACUUUUAAGUACUAAUCACUCUUGAUAUUCUUAGUUGGGCCGGUAUGUCAUCCUGCAAACCUGUUGAUACAAUGGCUUCUGUUUCCAAGGUUAGUCUCCAGCCUAGUGGUUUAUACUCAGAUCCCACUCAAUAUCAGCAAAUUGUCGAGGCUCUUUAGUAUCUCACCUUUACUACACCAAACAUUUGUUAUCCUGUCAACUAAGUUUGUCAAUUUAUGCAUGCGCCUACUGAGAGCCAUUGGAAUGCUAUCAAACGUAUUUUACGGUAUUUAAGGUACAUUCUCUUUUGGCCUUCACCUUACUCGAGGCUCCUCUUUAUCAGUACAUGGUUUUACUAAUGCGGACUAGGCGGGGAGUAUUGAUGAUCGAAAAUCUACUAGUGGCUAUAUCGUCUUUCUCAGCAACACUCUCAUCUUAUGGAAAUCUAGUAAGCAAUGCACUGUCGCUCACUCCUCCACUGAAGUAGAAUAUAAGGCCUUAGUUGAUGGUACUACUGAGGUUCUUUGGCUCCGUCAUCUGCUUUCAGAUUUAUGCUUCUCUCCUAGUUCUGUUACCACUAUUUGGUGCGAGAACUUGGGUGCUACUUAUUUGUCUGUUAAUCCGGUGUUUCAUGCGCGUACCAAACAUGUGGAGGUUGAUUAUCACUUUGUUUGUGAUAGAGUUGCCAAAAAAGAGAUACAGAUUCGCUUCAUACCCUCCUAAGACUAAUUAAGUCGCUCCCUCACACUACAUUUUUCUAUUUACGAUCCAAGCUUCAAGUGGACCACCCACCUUCAGCUUGAGGGGGAGUGUUAUGGAAUGUGUUUUAGUUUAGGAAAGAUUGUGUUUUCCUUAUAUAGAGAGUUAUAUUGCGCACUGCACUACAAAGUAACUAGUGUAUUUUGCCCUACUCAUAUAAAUAUGGGAGAUGGCUACUGCAUUAUGUAAGCCUCUCAAUUAUCAAAACCUUAUUUCAAUGUGAGAUUAAUAUUUUUUUAGAUUAUUUAUUUUUAAUUUUUUUAAUUGAUUUUAAUAUUUUUUAUUGUUGUGAUAAAACUAAAUAGUAGUUAUUCAAUGUAAUUCAAAAUAUAAUUGUUUCAUUAACUAUCAUAUAGUUUCAGUUAAAAAAAAAAAACAAACCAAAAUAAAUUUCGGCUAGAAAGUUUCGGUUUUAUUUUGGCCGAGUGUUUUUUUUCCUUUUCAAAAAAUAAAAAAAAUGUUUUUAUGGUCUCAUGAUCCAGGUCGAUCCAAUAUGUUAUUGUCUCAAUAUUUCAAAAAAAAAAGAUAUGUUAAAUUUUUUUAGUCAAACUAUAUUUUUACCAGUCGUCCAAGUUAUAUUUGGAUUUGUCGAGUCGAUAGAGUCAGCUCCCAUAUUUUUACUUAUGUUUGAAAUUUAAAUUGCAUAAUUUCAAGUUAAUUUAUCUUUGGAUUUGAAUUGAAAUUAUAUUUGUUGAAUUAAUAUUUUGAGUUAUAUAUACAUAAAUCCAAGGUUGAUAACUAUGUGUGGUUGGUAUUUGUUGGAAAUUACUUUUUAAAAAUAAUUUUUAAUUGAAAUAUAUAAAAAAUAAUACUUUUUUAAUUAUUUUUUUAUUUUUUAAAAUUGAUAUAUCAAAAUUAUAAAAAAAUAUUAAUUUAAUGUUUUUUUAUAAAAAUUAUUUUGAAAAACAAGCCUUACUGCAGUACCAAAAACAUGCUAAUAAAGAAGAAUAAAAAUUUUGCGUGGCUGGAAUUGUCACCCUCAAUUACACAAAUUACCUUGACUUGGGUUUAUUAAGGUCUGUCUUCCAUAACCCGUGGCUAUGAUUGAUCUGUAUUAUUUAGUUUAUAUAAGGGCAGUGACGCUGGCCAAGAAAAUUAUUCGGGUUCAUAAUCUGUGACAACAAAGUAAAGUAUUUGUUUCUCAUGGCUACUCCCAUCUCUCUUGCCUUUCUCCUCUAUGUUUUUCUUUUUCUUUUUUGCCCUUUAUGCUCUCUGAAGAAAGGGCAUACCGUGGCAGCUAAUGAAACCACAAAAAGUUACUUUCGCAAUGUUAAUGUCAAUUCUCUCUUGCCAUCAAGUGUCUGCAACCAAUCUAACAAAGGUUAGAUCAUGAUUUAGUAUUUUCUGUGUUGUCUUUUAAUAUUGUAUUUUACAUAUUACGAUUUAUUUCUAACUAAUUGUGUGUAUGUGUGUAUUGCAAUUUAGUCCCAGUGGUGUACUCCAUUUGAGAGUUUGAAACUUAAAUCAGUAUAUUUUUUAUUUUUAAAUGAAACGGCAUGUUUUAAGCAAAACGACGUCGUUUCAUGCGUUUUCAAAAAAAAAAAAAGAGACGAAACGGUGCUGUUUUGAGGUGGCACUGUUUCUUCUUCUUCUUCCCAUAGACGUGCAACAGGGGAAGAAAAGUUUUGUUUUUCUUUCCUUGUUUCUUCCUCUCUCCCUCCUUACAUGCCCUGUUAAAACCAAAACCGGACGCAACCCGCAUCUCCUCAUGAUGAGAAGACAGAGAAGUCAUGUCCCGCAAGCUACACCUCCAUUGGCCACCUCUGUCAACGUCGUGGCAAAGCAGGAGGCAUGUGCGCCCCAUUCAUGGGUAGCGAUGGGACGGGGCAGGGUCGACCCCGCUCCCCCUGCCCCUAUAAAUAUUGUCCCGAAAGGAAGAAAGAGGGAGGACAAAAAAUGAGGGGAACGAAUGUGAGAGAGAGGGGGGAAACCAAACAGAAUAGAGAGGGAAGUAGAAGAAGAAAAAAAGACAGAGAGGGGAGAGGGGACAGAAUGAAGAAGACAACAGAGAGGAAGGAGGGAAGAUUAGAAAUAGGGGGAGGAGGAUUUUUGCUUUAAAAAAAAUGAACGGACAAGCAGACGGCGGCGGAGGAAAGUUAAUUUAUCUUUGGAUUUGAAUUGAAAUUAUAUUUGUUGAAUUAAUAUUUUGAGUUAUAUAUACAUAAAUCCAAGGUUGAUAACUAUGUGUGGUUGGUAUUUGUUGGAAAUUACUUUUUAAAAAUAAUUUUUAAUUGAAAUAUAUAAAAAAUAAUACUUUUUUAAUUAUUUUUUUAUUUUUUAAAAUUGAUAUAUCAAAAUUAUAAAAAAAAUAUUAAUUUAAUGUUUUUUUAUAAAAAUUAUUUUGAAAAACAAGCCUUACUGCAGUACCAAAAACAUGCUAAUAAAGAAGAAUAAAAAUUUUUAAUUUUCUGUGUUGUCUUUUAAUAUUGUAUUUUACAUAUUACGAUUUAUUUCUAACUAAUUGUGUGUAUGUGUGUAUUGCAAUUUAGUCCCAGUGGUGUACUCCAUUUGAGAGAUUGAAACUUAAAUCAGUAUAUUUUUUAUUUUUAUUUUUAAUUUCUCAAUUAAUUUCAAUGCUGUAUUUCAGUUCUCAACAAAGCUUCGUCACUAAAAGUGGUAAGCAAGUACGGUCCAUGCACGGUGACUGGAGAUCCGAAAACAUUUCCCUCGGCAGCCGAAAUCCUCCGUCAAGACCAACUCCGAGUGAAAUCAAUUCGAGCUAAGCUUUCCAUGAACUCAAGCACUACUGGUGUUUUUAAUGAGAUGAAGACUACAGUUCCAACCACUCACUUUGGAGGCGCAUAUGCUGUCACCGUAGGUCUUGGCACCCCAAAAAAAGAUUUCUCACUCUUCUUUGAUACUGGUAGUGACCUUACUUGGACCCAAUGCGAGCCAUGUUCAGGGGGUUGCUUUCCACAGAAUGAGGAGAAGUUCGAUCCUACCAAAUCAACCUCUUACAAAAACCUUUCGUGUUCCUCGGAACCGUGCA
Molecule: long non-coding RNA, 38577 nt
Filed under: Populus tremula
Lineage: Eukaryota; Viridiplantae; Streptophyta; Magnoliopsida; Malpighiales; Salicaceae
Description: long non-coding RNA (PTRE_LNC001575)
Rfam family: MIR2912 microRNA precursor family (bases 34388-34543)
Source: RNAcentral